AGUUNGANCAUGGCUCAGGAUGAACGCUGGCGGCGUGCUUAACACAUGCAAGUCGAACGAAGCACUUUAUUUGAUUUCCUUCGGGACUGAUUAUUUUGUGACUGAGUGGCGGACGGGUGAGUAACGCGUGGGUAACCUGCCUUGUACAGGGGGAUAACAGUUGGAAACGGCUGCUAAUACCGCAUAAGCGCACAGCAUCGCAUGAUGCAGUGUGAAAAACUCCGGUGGUAUAAGAUGGACCCGCGUUGGAUUAGCUAGUUGGUGAGGUAACGGCCCACCAAGGCAACGAUCCAUAGCCGACCUGAGAGGGUGACCGGCCACAUUGGGACUGAGACACGGCCCAAACUCCUACGGGAGGCAGCAGUGGGGAAUAUUGCACAAUGGGCGAAAGCCUGAUGCAGCGACGCCGCGCGAGCGAAGAAGUAUUUCGGUAUGUAAAGCUCUAUCAGCAGGGAAGAUAAUGACGGUACCUGACUAAGAAGCACCGGCUAAAUACGUGCCAGCAGCCGCGGUAAUACGUAUGGUGCAAGCGUUAUCCGGAUUUACUGGGUGUAAAGGGAGCGCAGGCGGUGCGGCAAGUCUGAUGUGAAAGCCCGGGGCUCAACCCCGGUACUGCAUUGGAAACUGUCGUACUAGAGUGUCGGAGGGGUAAGCGGAAUUCCUAGUGUAGCGGUGAAAUGCGUAGAUAUUAGGAGGAACACCAGUGGCGAAGGCGACUUUCUGGACCGUAACUGACGUUGAGGCACGAAAGUGUGGGGAGCAAACAGGAUUAGAUACCCUGGUAGUCCACACCGUAAACGAUGGAUACUAGGUGUAGGGAACGAUAUGUUUUCUGUGCCGAAAGCAAACGCAAUAAGUAUCCCACCUGGGGAGUACGGCCGCAAGGUUGAAACUCAAAGGAAUUGACGGGGGCCCGCACAAGCAGUGGAGUAUGUGGUUUAAUUCGAAGCAACGCGAAGAACCUUACCAGGGCUUGACAUAUACAGGAAUACUUAAGAAAUUAGGUAGUCUUUCGAGACUUGUAUACAGGUGGUGCAUGGUUGUCGUCAGCUCGUGUCGUGAGAUGUUGGGUUAAGUCCCGCAACGAGCGCAACCCCUAUUUCUAGUUGCCAGCACGUAAAGGUGGGAACUCUAGAGAGACUGCCGAUGAUGAAUCGGAGGAAGGUGGGGACGACGUCAAAUCAUCAUGCCCUUUAUGUCCUGGGCUACACACGUACUACAAUGGCCGUAACAGAGAGAAACGAAACAGCGAUGUGGAGUAAAACUUAAAAAAGCGGUCUCAGUUCGGAUUGAAGGCUGAAAUUCGCCUACAUGAAGUUGGAGUUGCUAGUAAUGGCAGGUCAGCAUACUGCCGUGAAUACGUUCCCGGGCCUUGUACACACCGCCCGUCACACCAUGAGAGUUGGAGAUACCCGAAGCCUGUGAGCUAACUUUUAGAGGCAGCAGUCGAAGGUAGAGCCAAUGAUUGGGGUGAAGUCGUAACAAGGUACCC
This 1492-nucleotide ribosomal RNA is filed under the name uncultured bacterium. RNAcentral describes it as "bacterial SSU rRNA". It matches the Rfam family "Bacterial small subunit ribosomal RNA". The record is from RNAcentral.